GAGUUCGCGGGAGAGUAAGUUAUUGCCAGGGUUUUUAUUUUAUACUUUAAACCUUGAAUUUAUUUUUUAAAUGUUUAUAUUAUUUGAAUAAAACUAUUCAAAUAAUAUAAAAAAUAAUAUAUAUAUUGACAUGGAUUAAACAAAGAUAUAUAUUAUUUUAUGUUGUAUAAACAAAUUGGCAAAAUAGAGAUGGAAGAUAAAAAUAUGGUCAAAGUAAUAAGAGUCUAUGGUGAAUGCC
Molecule: unclassified non-coding RNA, 238 nt
Filed under: Borreliella afzelii
Lineage: Bacteria; Pseudomonadati; Spirochaetota; Spirochaetia; Spirochaetales; Borreliaceae
Description: partial 5S-23S ribosomal RNA intergenic spacer
Source: RNAcentral